CACUCACUCUCCACUCAUUCGUUACCCUCACUCACUCACCUCUCUUCUCUCUCACUUCUCUAGAAAAGAAAACAGGAAAAGAAAAGCUGUUUAGCUUUUCCUCUCUGCCGCGACUCUCCAUCUACACCAAUCACCGCUCCAUCUCAUCCUCCACACAAAACCUCUACCACAAACCCUUCUGAACACCACCAUUUCCAUCACCACACGAAACCACCACUCUCACCCUUCACACCGCACCACCGUCCUCACAACCACAACCUCCAUCAUCACAAACACCAGCCGCCGUCGUCCACUUCUCCACCAACCCUUACCGCCUUUCCUUCUCCGCCGUUUAUCUCCACCUUCACUCAACAACAACCACAAAGCCACCGCGCUUCCGUUCACCUUCACCAUCAAUCGUCUCCAUCACCGAAUCCACCCUCUUCGACUCACACACAUCAACGCACCGCAAAAACAACGGCGCCUCCGUCCAACAAUCGAUCUCCACCGUGCAUACCGUUUCCGUCAAUAACUCACCAUCGUUCCGACGACGCAUCCACCAACAACAACCACGCUCAAACCUUCACCGAUACUCCGACAACUUCCGAAGAACCCUCAACGACCCAAAUCCAUCGUCAACAUCAACAUCCUCCGGUGAAUCCACCUGGAACCGCUGCAUACCGCCGUCAAAAUGUCCAACUUCGAACGCGACAACUCUCCUU
RNAcentral lists this long non-coding RNA (701 nucleotides) under Lathyrus oleraceus (garden pea). Its description in RNAcentral is "Pisum sativum (pea) long non-coding RNA (PSAT_LNC039224)". The record is from RNAcentral. Lineage: Eukaryota; Viridiplantae; Streptophyta; Magnoliopsida; Fabales; Fabaceae.